CCUACGGGUGGCAGCAGUGAGGAAUAUUGGUCAAUGGCCGGAAGGCUGAACCAGCCAUGCCGCGUGAAGGUCAGUGCCCUAUGGGCGUUAAACUUCUUUUGUGCGGGAGCACUAAUGGUCACGUGUGGACAGACGCGAGUACCGUACGCAUAAGCAUCGGCUAACUCCGUGCCAGCAGCCGCGGUAAUACGGGGGAUGCAAGCGUUAUCCGGAUUUUUUGGAUUUAAAGGGUGCGGCGGCGGUCGGAUAAGUUAGAGGUGAAAUCCCGAGGCUAAACUUCGGAAUUGCCUCUGAUACUGGUCGGCUAGAGAGUAGUUGCGGUAGGCGGAAUGUAGGGUGUAGCGGUGAAAUGCUUAGAGAUCAUACAGAACACCGAGUGCGAAGGCAGCUUACCAAGCUACUUCUGACGUUGAGGCACGAAAGCGUGGGGAGCAAACAGGAUUAGAGACCCCUGUAGUC
Molecule: ribosomal RNA, 459 nt
Filed under: uncultured bacterium
Lineage: Bacteria
Description: partial 16S ribosomal RNA
Rfam family: Bacterial small subunit ribosomal RNA
Source: RNAcentral